This 513-nucleotide ribosomal RNA is filed under the name Acinetobacter baumannii. RNAcentral's name for it is "partial 23S ribosomal RNA". It matches the Rfam family "Bacterial large subunit ribosomal RNA", at positions 528 to 1041 of the family's 2925-position model. The record is from RNAcentral. Lineage: Bacteria; Pseudomonadati; Pseudomonadota; Gammaproteobacteria; Moraxellales; Moraxellaceae.
GGAGAGGGGAGUGAAAUAGAUCCUGAAACCGUAUGCGUACAAGCAGUGGGAGCCCACUUUGUUGGGUGACUGCGUACCUUUUGUAUAAUGGGUCAGCGACUUAUUUUCAGUGGCGAGCUUAACCGAAUAGGGGAGGCGUAGCGAAAGCGAGUCUUAAUAGGGCGUCUAGUCGCUGGGAAUAGACCCGAAACCGGGCGAUCUAUCCAUGGGCAGGUUGAAGGUUGGGUAACACUAACUGGAGGACCGAACCGACUACCGUUGAAAAGUUAGCGGAUGACCUGUGGAUCGGAGUGAAAGGCUAAUCAAGCUCGGAGAUAGCUGGUUCUCCUCGAAAGCUAUUUAGGUAGCGCCUCAUGUAUCACUGUAGGGGGUAGAGCACUGUUUCGGCUAGGGGGUCAUCCCGACUUACCAAACCGAUGCAAACUCCGAAUACCUACAAGUGCCGAGCAUGGGAGACACACGGCGGGUGCUAACGUCCGUCGUGAAAAGGGAAACAACCCAGACCGUCAGCUA